Molecule: long non-coding RNA, 223 nt
Filed under: Actinidia chinensis (golden kiwifruit)
Lineage: Eukaryota; Viridiplantae; Streptophyta; Magnoliopsida; Ericales; Actinidiaceae
Description: long non-coding RNA (ACHI_LNC007860)
Source: RNAcentral
UCCAUUUACCUUUCCCACCAGAAAUAAAAACAAACCCGUAGGCGCAAACUGUGGCCGCCCACCAAAACGUGCAAGUUGCCUCCCUGGUAGAAACAACAAACCCCCUAUUCGUACAUGCAAGAUUUAUGAAAAAUGCCGCGCCGGGUAACACCCUCCAAUUUCAGAGCCUGAUCGAUGAUCAUUCAACUGUACGAAUAUAUAAUCCAUGAAUACGUGUAUUUUU